RNAcentral lists this ribosomal RNA (504 nucleotides) under uncultured bacterium. RNAcentral's name for it is "partial 16S ribosomal RNA". It matches the Rfam family "Bacterial small subunit ribosomal RNA", at positions 28 to 523 of the family's 1533-position model. The record is from RNAcentral.
GAUGAACGCUAGCGACAGGCUUAACACAUGCAAGUCGAGGGGCAGCACGGGAGUAGCAAUACAACUGGUGGCGACCGGCGCACGGGUGAGUAACGCGUAUGCAACCUACCUAUCAGAGGGGAAUAACCCGGCGAAAGUCGGACUAAUACCGCAUAAAACAGGGGCACCGCAUGGUGAUAUUUGCUAAAGAAAUUCGCUGAUAGAUGGGCAUGCGUUCCAUGAGGUAGUUGGUGAGGUAACGGCUCACCAAGCCGACGAUGGAUAGGGGAACUGAGAGGUUGGUCCCCCACACUGGUACUGAGACACGGACCAGACUCCUACGGGAGGCAGCAGUGAGGAAUAUUGGUCAAUGGGCGAGAGCCUGAACCAGCCAAGUCGCGUGAAGGAAGAAGGAUCUAUGGUUCGUAAACUUCUUUUGCAGGGGAAUAAAGUGCAGGACGUGUCCUGUUUUGUAUGUACCCUGAGAAUAAGGAUCGGCUAACUCCGUGCCAGCCGCCGCCGUAA